This 465-nucleotide ribosomal RNA is filed under the name uncultured Rhodocyclaceae bacterium. Its description in RNAcentral is "bacterial SSU rRNA". It matches the Rfam family "Bacterial small subunit ribosomal RNA", at positions 338 to 795 of the family's 1533-position model. Lineage: Bacteria; Pseudomonadati; Pseudomonadota; Betaproteobacteria; Rhodocyclales; Rhodocyclaceae. The record is from RNAcentral.
CCUACGGGUGGCUGCAGUGGGGAAUUUUGGACAAUGGGGGCAACCCUGAUCCAGCCAUUCCGCGUGAGUGAAGAAGGCCUUCGGGUUGUAAAGCUCUUUCAGCAGGAACGAAACGGUCGGCUUUAAUAAAGUCGGCUAAUGACGGUACCUGCAGAAGAAGCACCGGCUAACUACGUGCCAGCAGCCGCGGUAAUACGUAGGGUGCGAGCGUUAAUCGGAAUUACUGGGCGUAAAGCGUGCGCAGGCGGCGACAUAAGACAGAUGUGAAAUCCCCGGGCUCAACCUGGGAACUGCGUUUGUGACUGUGUUGCUAGAGUGUAGCAGAGGGGGGUGGAAUUCCACGUGUAGCAGUGAAAUGCGUAGAGAUGUGGAGGAACACCGAUGGCGAAGGCAGCCCCCUGGGUUAACACUGACGCUCAUGCACGAAAGCGUGGGGAGCAAACAGGAUUAGAUACCCCGGUAGUC